UGCAGUCGAGCGGCAGCGCGGGAGCAAUCCUGGCGGCGAGCGGCGAACGGGUGAGUAAUGCUUCGGAAUCUGCCCUUCAGUGGGGAAUAACCAGUCGAAAGACUGGCUAAUACCGCAUACGAACUGAGGUUGAAAGCAGGGGAUCGCAAGACCUUGCGCUGAUGGAUGAGCCGAAGUCGGAUUAGCUUGUUGGUGGGGUAAUGGCCUACCAAGGCGACGAUCCGUAGCUGGUCUGAGAGGACGACCAGCCACACUGGGACUGAGACACGGCCCAGACUCCUACGGGAGGCAGCAGUGGGGAAUAUUGGACAAUGGGGGCAACCCUGAUCCAGCGACGCCGCGUGUGUGAAGAAGGCCUGCGGGUUGUAAAGCACUUUUAGUGGGGAGGAAGGUCUGCGACCUAACACGUCGUGGAAUUGACUUAACCCACAGAAAAAGCACCGGCUAACUCUGUGCCAGCAGCCGCGGUAAU
Molecule: ribosomal RNA, 472 nt
Filed under: uncultured bacterium
Lineage: Bacteria
Description: bacterial SSU rRNA
Rfam family: Bacterial small subunit ribosomal RNA
Source: RNAcentral